GCCCAGAAAUCAGAUGUUUAAUGCUGAGACAGAUUUCCAACAGUUUUGAUCUGGCUCUAUGUACCUGCUUUUUUUCUCUCAAAGAGAAUAUUUUGAAUGUGCGACUUGUUUGGCUGAGAGGAGAUCACAAGGCUCCAAGAACAAUACAAAGACAAGUGUUAAGAGAUGGCAAAAAGGGGGCAUUGGGAAUGCUCCCCUUGGGCAUGGGAACCAAAUGCCUUUGUAGUGCCUAUGAGAUUCUCUAAACAUGCGCAUCCUUCGAUAAAGAAGCAUAGCACUUAUAUCUGUGCUUUGGCUUGGAAAGGGUUCAUGUCUUUUUUCCAAAGGGUGGUGGUUCCAAGUUCCAACAUCUACACAAACUUCCAAAGUCCCAAUCAGCAAGGAGAUUUCUUUACCACAAAGCAGCAGCUCUGGAGUGGAGACCACAUGGUCCAGGAGGAGGAAGGAGCUUGGCUGGUAAAGUUAAAGAUAGCUAAAAGGUAAAGCUAAUGGUGCAAGGCCAAAAGAUGGAGAUGCAAAAUAAUGGUUUGUUUUGGUGGAUGAACUCAAAUAAUGAUUGAGGAUAUGUUAUUUUAAUUAUGUCAGCCGACCAUGGAUGUGGACAGCAAAACCUUGAUUCACCAAUAAUAGUUGUUUAGCGGUGUGCUUUGUAUGCAAAUGUGGGAUAAAAAUAGUUGGAAAAGUCUUGGAAAAACUUGCGAAAACACUGGAAUUGAACCUUGAUGGUUAAACCAUAUUGAUUAUGAAGUGCCAUGAAUAGGAA
This is a non-coding RNA of Phoenix dactylifera (date palm), 763 nucleotides long. The record is from RefSeq and is a predicted model, not a curated record. Lineage: Eukaryota; Viridiplantae; Streptophyta; Magnoliopsida; Arecales; Arecaceae.